This 177-nucleotide ribosomal RNA is filed under the name Escherichia coli. Its description in RNAcentral is "partial 23S ribosomal RNA". It matches the Rfam family "Bacterial large subunit ribosomal RNA", at positions 2771 to 2925 of the family's 2925-position model. Lineage: Bacteria; Pseudomonadati; Pseudomonadota; Gammaproteobacteria; Enterobacterales; Enterobacteriaceae. The record is from RNAcentral.
CUGAAAGCAUCUAAGCACGAAACUUGCCCCGAGAUGAGUUCUCCCUGACUCCUUGAGAGUCCUGAAGGAACGUUGAAGACGACGACGUUGAUAGGCCGGAUGUGUAAGCGCAGCGAUGCGUUGAGCUAACCGGUACUAAUGAACCGUGAGGCUUAACCUUACAACGCCGAAGCUGUU